Molecule: ribosomal RNA, 391 nt
Filed under: uncultured bacterium
Lineage: Bacteria
Description: bacterial SSU rRNA
Rfam family: Bacterial small subunit ribosomal RNA
Source: RNAcentral
UGUGUAUGCAGCCUCUCUUCGGAGCACUGGUGACAGGUGGUGCAUGGUUGUCGUCAGCUCGUGUCGUGAGAUGUUGGGUUAAGUCCCGCAACGAGCGCAACCCCUGUCCUUAGUAGCCAGCAUUUAAGAUGGGCACUCUAGGGAGACUGCCAGGGAUAACCUGGAGGAAGGCGGGGAUGACGUCAAAUCAUCAUGCCCCUUAUGACUUGGGCUACACACGUGCUACAAUGGCGUAAACAAAGGGAAGCAAAUCCGUGAGGCCGAGCAAAUCCCAAAAAUAACGUCUCAGUUCGGACUGUAGUCUGCAACUCGACUACACGAAGCUGGAAUCGCUAGUAAUCGCGAAUCAGAAUGUCGCGGUGAAUACGUUCCCGGGUCUUGUACACACCGA